This 18-nucleotide ribosomal RNA is filed under the name Phytophthora megasperma. RNAcentral's name for it is "partial 28S ribosomal RNA". The record is from RNAcentral. Lineage: Eukaryota; Oomycota; Peronosporomycetes; Peronosporales; Peronosporaceae.
UUGGACCUGAUAUUCAGC